This 203-nucleotide ribosomal RNA is filed under the name uncultured bacterium. RNAcentral describes it as "partial 16S ribosomal RNA". It matches the Rfam family "Bacterial small subunit ribosomal RNA", at positions 568 to 774 of the family's 1533-position model. The record is from RNAcentral.
UGCGUAGGCGGGUUUCUAAGUCAGAGGUGAAAGCCUGGAGCUCAACUCCAGAACUGCCUUUGAUACUGGAAGUCUUGAGUAUGGCAGAGGUGAGUGGAACUGCGAGUGUAGAGGUGAAAUUCGUAGAUAUUCGCAAGAACACCAGUGGCGAAGGCGGCUCACUGGGCCAUUACUGACGCUGAAGCAAAGCUGGGGAGCAAACA